RNAcentral lists this ribosomal RNA (253 nucleotides) under uncultured bacterium. Its description in RNAcentral is "partial 16S ribosomal RNA". It matches the Rfam family "Bacterial small subunit ribosomal RNA", at positions 524 to 776 of the family's 1533-position model. The record is from RNAcentral.
UACGUAGGGCGCAAGCGUUAUCCGGAAUUAUUGGGCGUAAAGAGCUCAUAGGCGGUUUGUCGCGUCUGCUGUGAAAACUCAGGGCUUAACCCUGAGCCUGCAGUGGGUACGGGCAGACUAGAGUGUGGUAGGGGAGAUCGGAAUUCCUGGUGUAGCGGUGGAAUGCGCAGAUAUCAGGAGGAACACCGGUGGCGAAGGCGGAUCUCUGGGCCAUAACUGACGCUGAGGAGCGAAAGCAUGGGGAGCAAACAGG